RNAcentral lists this small RNA (498 nucleotides) under uncultured Frankia sp. Its description in RNAcentral is "bacterial LSU rRNA". It matches the Rfam family "Bacterial large subunit ribosomal RNA", at positions 904 to 1378 of the family's 2925-position model. The record is from RNAcentral. Lineage: Bacteria; Bacillati; Actinomycetota; Actinomycetes; Frankiales; Frankiaceae.
AAAGCACUGAAUGGGCUAGGGGCCGCGAGGUUACCGAACCCUAUCAAACUCUGAAUGCCGGAUAAUUGAUGAAUAGCAGUCAGACUACGUGAGAUAAGUCUCGUGGUCAAAAGGGAAACAGCCCAGAUCUACAGCUAAGGCCCCUAAGCGUACGCUAAGUGGGAAAGGAUGUGGAGUCGCGGUGACAACCAGGAGGUUGGCUUAGAAGCAGCCAUCCUUGAAAGAGUGCGUAAUAGCUCACUGGUCAAGUGGUUCUGCGCCGACAAUGUAGCGGGGCUCAAGCGUACCGCCGAAGCUGUGGCAACAACACGCGAUGCUGGCGCCAGGAACUGGAGUGCUGGUGUGUUGUUGGGUAGGGGAGCGUCCUGCACGAGGUGAAGCCUGGAGGGAACUUCUGGUGGAUUGUGUGGGAGUGAGAAUGCAGGCAUGAGUAACGAAUCUGCGGUGAGAAUCCGCAGCGCCGAUUGACUAAGGGUUCCAGGGCUAGGUUAUCCCCGG